UACAUGGGGUGCAAACGUUGCUCGGAAUUAUUGGGCGUAAAGCGCGCGUAGGCGGUUAUCUAAGUCGGAUGUGAAAGCCCUCGGCUUAACUGAGGAAGUGCACCCGAAACUGGAUAGCUAGAGUACGAAAGAGGGUCGCGGAAUUCCCGGUGUAGAGGUGAAAUUCGUAGAUAUCGGGAGGAACACCGGUGGCGAAGGCGGCGACCUGGGUCGAGACUGACGCUGAUGCGCGAAAGCGUGGGGAGCAAACAGG
RNAcentral lists this ribosomal RNA (253 nucleotides) under uncultured bacterium. Its description in RNAcentral is "partial 16S ribosomal RNA". It matches the Rfam family "Bacterial small subunit ribosomal RNA", at positions 524 to 776 of the family's 1533-position model. The record is from RNAcentral.